UACAUGGGGUGCAAACGUUGCUCGGAAUUAUUGGGCGUAAAGCGCACGUAGGCGGCGCGUUAAGUCGGGUGUGAAAGCCCUGGGCUCAACCCAGGAAGUGCAUUCGAAACUGGCGCGCUUGAAUAUGGAAGAGGGUCGCGGAAUUCCCGGUGUAGAGGUGAAAUUCGUAGAUAUCGGGAGGAACACCAGUGGCGAAGGCGGCGACCUGGGCCAAUAUUGACGCUGAGGUGCGAAAGCGUGGGGAGCAAACAGG
RNAcentral lists this ribosomal RNA (253 nucleotides) under uncultured bacterium. RNAcentral describes it as "partial 16S ribosomal RNA". It matches the Rfam family "Bacterial small subunit ribosomal RNA", at positions 524 to 776 of the family's 1533-position model. The record is from RNAcentral.